Molecule: transfer RNA, 80 nt
Filed under: Nitrososphaerota archaeon
Lineage: Archaea; Thermoproteati; Nitrososphaerota
Description: Thaumarchaeota archaeon tRNA-Gln
Rfam family: tRNA
About the family: Transfer RNA (tRNA) molecules are approximately 80 nucleotides in length. Their secondary structure includes four short double-helical elements and three loops (D, anti-codon, and T loops). Further hydrogen bonds mediate the characteristic L-shaped molecular structure. tRNAs have two regions of fundamental functional importance: the anti-codon, which is responsible for specific mRNA codon recognition, and the 3' end, to which the tRNAs corresponding amino acid is attached (by aminoacyl-tRNA synthetases). tRNAs cope with the degeneracy of the genetic code in two manners: having more than one tRNA (with a specific anti-codon) for a particular amino acid; and 'wobble' base-pairing, i.e. permitting non-standard base-pairing at the 3rd anti-codon position.
Source: RNAcentral
GGAGGAGUAAUCAAGCCUGGCCAAAGUAAGCAAUUUGCUUUUGGUUCAGGAGUUCGUGGGUUCAAAUCCCACCUCCUCCA